ACGUCCGUGGGAAGAUACUUGUUGAAAAAGCCGCAAAACAUUCACUUUAUCACAAAAACUAAUUUUUUGAUUUUUUCUUCCUUCUCCACUCCAGUUGCAAUUCUUUAAAAACACCGGGCAAAACAAAAUUUACAACGCCUCAUGAAUCCGUUGUUUAUAGAAGAUCCUGAAUCUGCGUUUGCAGCCGGUGCGCUUGAGGUCGGAGAUGAUGGGACGACGAUAUUAUCUAUAAAAUAAUCCAGUUGGCAUUUUACUGUUCCAAUUGCAUUUGUCAGCUUCCAAAUUUUUUUUGUCGUGCUCCUGCAUUCCUAAUUGUAUUUCAUUCAUCAUUCCUAACACCUUGUCAAUUUUUCCAUUGAGUGAAGCCAGUAUUAUCUCUGGAUUUUCGCUAACCUGGUUUUCCAUCGCUGAUAUGGCUAUGGUUUAAAAAUUAGUUGUUUUAAAAUUCAUUCGGCCACAAAGUCAUUCUAUCAUUUUAUUUACCUUUUUUUCACUCUUUUCUAGCUCCAAGCUCCAAGGCGUGCGAGAAUAAUUUUUUGCUCCAAUCAGUCCAAAAAACGAAGACCAAAUAAAAUUUUCCAUCGUCUUGAAACCCAUA
Molecule: long non-coding RNA, 598 nt
Organism: Anopheles gambiae (African malaria mosquito)
Lineage: Eukaryota; Metazoa; Arthropoda; Insecta; Diptera; Culicidae
Exons: 3
Source: RefSeq, a predicted model, not a curated record